RNAcentral lists this ribosomal RNA (395 nucleotides) under uncultured bacterium. RNAcentral describes it as "bacterial SSU rRNA". It matches the Rfam family "Bacterial small subunit ribosomal RNA", at positions 505 to 898 of the family's 1533-position model. The record is from RNAcentral.
GUGUCAGCAGCCGCGGUAAGACGAACCGUCCAAACGUUAUUCGGAAUCACUGGGCUUAAAGGGUGCGUAGGCGGCCCGGCAAGUUGGGUGUGAAAGCCCUCGGCUCAACCGAGGAAUUGCGCCCAAAACUGCCGGGCUCGAGGGAGAUAGAGGUGAGCGGAACUAAGGGUGGAGCGGUGAAAUGCGUUGAUAUCCUUAGGAACACCAGUAGCGUAAGCGGCUCACUAGGUCUCUUCUGACGCUGAGGCACGAAAGCCAGGGGAGCGAACGGGAUUAGAUACCCCGGUAGUCCUGGCCCUAAACGAUGAGCACUGGUUUGGAGGGUCCUCCAUAGCCCUCCAGACGUAGCGAAAGUGUUAAGUGCUCCGCCUGGGGAGUAUGGUCGCAAGGCUGAA